Molecule: ribosomal RNA, 781 nt
Filed under: uncultured Dialister sp.
Lineage: Bacteria; Bacillati; Bacillota; Negativicutes; Veillonellales; Veillonellaceae
Description: bacterial SSU rRNA
Rfam family: Bacterial small subunit ribosomal RNA
Source: RNAcentral
GACGAACGCUGGCGGCGUGCUUAACACAUGCAAGUCGAACGAAAAGAGGGAAAGAGCUUGCUCUUUCCGGAAUUGAGUGGCAAACGGGUGAGUAACACGUAAACAACCUGCCUUCAGGAUGGGGACAACAGACGGAAACGACUGCUAAUACCGAAUAAGUUCCAAGGGCCGCAUGGCCCAUGGAAGAAAAGGUGGCCUCUACCUGUAAGCUAUCGCCUGAAGAGGGGUUUGCGUCUGAUUAGCUGGUUGGAGGGGUAACGGCCCACCAAGGCGACGAUCAGUAGCCGGUCUGAGGGGAUGAACGGCCACACUGGAACUGAGACACGGUCCAGACUCCUACGGGAGGCAGCAGUGGGGAAUCUUCCGCAAUGGGCGAAAGCCUGACGAAGCAACGCCGCGUGAGUGAUGACGGCCUUCGGGUUGUAAAACUCUGUGAUCCGGGACGAAAAGGCAGGGUGCGAAGAACAAACUGCAUUGACGGUACCGGAAAAGCAAGCCACGGCUAACUACGUGCCAGCAGCCGCGGUAAUACGUAGGUGGCAAGCGUUGUCCGGAAUUAUUGGGCGUAAAGCGCGCGCAGGCGGCUUCCCAAGUCCCUCUUAAAAGUGCGGGGCUUAACCCCGUGAUGGGAAGGAAACUGGGAAGCUGGAGUAUCGGAGAGGAAAGUGGAAUUCCUAGUGUAGCGGUGAAAUGCGUAGAGAUUAGGAAGAACACCGGUGGCGAAGGCGACUUUCUGGACGAAAACUGACGCUGAGGCGCGAAAGCGUGGGGAGCAAACAGG